GUCAAGGAGCAUCUAUCCCUGGAGAGGUUGGAACCUGUAGGAACUAUUGUCCGAGGCAGGGCCUGGAGUCUGUGAUUUCUGGGUCAUUCCUGAUGCCUGACAGCCCCACCCCCCAGAUUCUGUGAAGGACAAGGACCUCGUCCAAGGUCGUCCCUUGGGGACUCCAGCUGCCCCAGUUGUGCAGCAAUCAGAGCUGGCUGGCUCUGUGCCGCCAUGUCCGCCCACCUGCCCACAUCUGCUCUGAGUCACCGAUACCUCGGCCAAAACAGGAAUGCGGGGGCCGCGGAAACAAGGCCAGCAGUGAGGGAGGCAGGGCCAGCAGCCUUCACAAUUAUCUGGGCAAUUAAAGCAGGCAGAUGGUCCUGCCGGACUGAGCAUUCAAGCUGACAAACGGAGACAGCACGGGGCAUUAGCUGAUGAGAUCAGCACGGGUUCCGGUGGCAGCGAUGUG
Molecule: non-coding RNA, 451 nt
Organism: Peromyscus maniculatus bairdii (prairie deer mouse)
Lineage: Eukaryota; Metazoa; Chordata; Mammalia; Rodentia; Cricetidae
Source: RefSeq, a predicted model, not a curated record